This 731-nucleotide ribosomal RNA is filed under the name uncultured bacterium. RNAcentral's name for it is "bacterial SSU rRNA". It matches the Rfam family "Bacterial small subunit ribosomal RNA", at positions 182 to 1533 of the family's 1533-position model. The record is from RNAcentral.
GCUGACAUAAGUCGGUUCAUUAAAGCCGCAAGGUGCUUGGUGAGGGGCUUGCGUCCGAUUAGCUAGUUGGUGGGGUAAUGGCCUACCAAGGCUUCGAUCGGUAGCUGGUCUGAGAGGAUGAUCAGCCACACUGGGACUGAGACACGGCCCAGACUCCUACGGGAGGCAGCAGCAAGGAAUCUUGGGCAAUGGGCGAAAGCCUGACCCAGCAACGCCGCGUGAGGGAUGAAGGCUUUCGGGUUGUAAACCUCUUUUCACAGGGAAGAAUAAUGACGGUACCUGUGGAAUAAGCUUCGGCUAACUACGUGCCAGCAGCCGCGGUAAUACGUAGGAAGCAAGCGUUAUCCGGAUUUAUUGGGCGUAAAGUGAGCGUAGGUGGUCUUUCAAGUUGGAUGUGAAAUUUCCCGGCUUAACCGGGACGUGUCAUUCAAUACUGUUGGACUAGAGUACAGCAGGAGAAAACGGAAUUCCCGGUGUAGUGGUAAAAUGCGUAGAUAUCGGGAGGAACACCAGAGGCGAAGGCGGUUUUCUAGGUUGUCACUGACACUGAGGCUCGAAAGCGUGGGGAGCGAACAGAAUUAGAUACUCUGGUAGUCCACGCCUUAAACUAUGGACACUAGGUAUAGGGAGUAUCGACCCUCUCUGUGCCGAAGCUAACGCUUUAAGUGUCCCGCCUGGGCCGUCAAUUCCUUUGAAAGUAUCCUGAGCCAGGAUCAAACUCUAAUCGAAUU